This 449-nucleotide ribosomal RNA is filed under the name uncultured bacterium. RNAcentral describes it as "partial 16S ribosomal RNA". It matches the Rfam family "Bacterial small subunit ribosomal RNA", at positions 29 to 523 of the family's 1533-position model. The record is from RNAcentral.
AAUGAACGCUGGCGGCAGGCCUAACACAUGCAAGUCGAACGGAUCCUUCGGGAUUAGUGGCGGACGGGUGAGUAACGCGCGGGAACAUACCCAAAGGUACGGAACAGCCUCGGGAAACUGGGAGUAAUACCGUAUGUGCUCGAAAGAGGAAAGAUUUAUCGCCUUUGGAUUGGCCCGCGUUGGAUUAGGUAGUUGGUGGGGUAAUGGCCUACCAAGCCGACGCUCCAUAGCUGGUUUGAGAGGAUGAUCAGCCACACUGGGACUGAGACACGGCCCAGACUCCUACGGGAGGCAGCGGUGGGGAAUCUUAGACAAUGGGGGAAACCCUGAUCUAGCCAUGCCGCGUGAUCGAUGAAGGCCUUAGGGUUGUAAAGAUCUUUCAGGUGGGAAGAUAAUGACUGUACCACCAGAAGAAGCCCCGGCUAACUCCGUGCCAGCCGCCGCGGUAA